AGUCUUCUGAGGCGUGCGUCAGGUUCCUCUCAAUCCCUUGAGCCUUAAUCUGCGACUUUGGGGGGCGCACCAAGUCGGUCGUGUGCAGGUCCGUCGCGAACGGAAAGCCUUACACCCUCUGCGCGCCCCCCAGCUUGAACCUCUGGUUCAAGGUCGAAGAGCAACCAACGGCGUUUUGGAAGACAC
Molecule: non-coding RNA, 186 nt
Filed under: Halothiobacillus diazotrophicus
Lineage: Bacteria; Pseudomonadati; Pseudomonadota; Gammaproteobacteria; Chromatiales; Halothiobacillaceae
Description: Halothiobacillus sp. LS2 6S / SsrS RNA
Rfam family: 6S / SsrS RNA
About the family: E. coli 6S RNA was the first non coding RNA to be sequenced, but its function was unknown until recently. It consists of 184 nucleotides that fold into an extended hairpin structure with a large single-stranded internal bulge. The 6S RNA specifically associates with RNA polymerase holoenzyme containing the sigma70 specificity factor.
Source: Rfam by way of RNAcentral